This 468-nucleotide ribosomal RNA is filed under the name uncultured bacterium. Its description in RNAcentral is "partial 16S ribosomal RNA". It matches the Rfam family "Bacterial small subunit ribosomal RNA", at positions 28 to 507 of the family's 1533-position model. The record is from RNAcentral.
GACGAACGCUGUCGGCGUUCUUAACAUAUGCAAGCCGAACGGAAAGACGCUGCUUUCGUGGGGUACUCGAGUGGCGAACGAGUGAGUAACACGUGAAUAACUUGCCCUUGACUUUGGGAUAACUUCAGGAAACUGGGGCUCAUACCAGAUAGGAGCUACUGGUUGUUGGUGCGUGGUGGUAAGCUUCGGCGGUUGGGGAUGGACUCGCGGCUUAUCAGCUUGUUGGUGGGGUAGUGGCUUACCAAGGCUUUGACGGGUAGCCGGCCUGAGAGGGUGACCGGCCACGUUGGGAAUGAGAUACGGCCCAGACUCCUACGGGAGGCAGCAGUGGGGAAUAUUGCACAAUGGACGGAAGCCUGAUGCAGCAACGCCGCGUGCGGGAUAACGGCCUUCGGGUUGUAAACCGCUUUCGCCUGUGACGAAGCGUGAGUGACGGUAAUGGGUAAAGAAGCACCGGCUAACUACGUG